UACGGAGGAUGCAAGCGUUAUCCGGAAUUAUUGGGCGUAAAGAGCUCGUAGGCGGUUUGUCGCGUCUGCUGUGAAAACUCGGGGCUUAACUCCGGGCCUGCAGUGGGUACGGGCAGACUAGAGUGCGGUAGGGGAGACUGGAAUUCCUGGUGUAGCGGUGAAAUGCGCAGAUAUCAGGAGGAACACCGGUGGCGAAGGCGGGUCUCUGGGCCGUAACUGACGCUGAGGAGCGAAAGCGUGGGGAGCGAACAGG
RNAcentral lists this ribosomal RNA (253 nucleotides) under uncultured bacterium. RNAcentral's name for it is "partial 16S ribosomal RNA". It matches the Rfam family "Bacterial small subunit ribosomal RNA", at positions 524 to 776 of the family's 1533-position model. The record is from RNAcentral.